AUGGAAGAACUGAUGAAGGAAGCGCACGCCCUCUUCUGCGGCGGCUGGAGCAUAAAAGAGUCCCAGGUUUUCAUAAGCACGCUCCAGCAUCUACUAACGGCGGCGACCAAGACCGACGACGAGCCUGACGCGGCGAAGACGACGAGGUGCUGGGCGACUCCCCAGCGCUGGCUGCUCACGCUGGACACGCCCUCGCUGCGCGCCGCGCUGUGGAACCCCUCGACCAAGGAGAAGGUGGAGCUCCCAUCAAUGGAGAAGGACCUUCCCCGGAACUGCAAGUGCCUGCUGUCGCGCGAGCCCGGCUCCCGCGCAGGCUGCGUGGUGCUGGUCGUCGUCGACGACGAGCCGGUGAUCUGGUUCUGCCUCGUCGGAGGCGAGCGAUGGAGCAGGCACGAGUACGAGAUCAUUGUCGAGAAACCACGGGGUUCACCCAAUUUUCGCUUGGUGAAAAAACAGUCUUUCGAAGAAGCAGGGUGUGCAACGAACCUCAUCUCUCCCGACGAAGAAACAAGAACAGAGUACAUCUUGGAGGGACACAACUGGAAGAGAAUAAGAAUACCAAGCGACGGGCAUGGCAGUCAUCGAUUCCAGAUAUGGAGCAUCGCCGCCGUGGACGGCAAGUUCUACUUCGACGUGUCCCCCUCGAAGCUCGGUGUCCUCGACUUCCUCCCGGGCCCGACGUUCACCAUGAUGGACACCAAGGGAGCGCGAGUCGCAUGGGAUUCCUGGGAGCUGGCGUUCCCUCAUCUGGCGGAGUCCCGCGGGAGGCUCUACCUGUUCGUCAUCGCCCAUAAUAGUCUGGCCAGCAUCGCCCUCUACAAGAUGGAUUUCUCGUCGCUUGCAUGGUCCAAGGUGGAUCGCGUCUAUGAUCAGGUGUUCUUCCUGGGCAGGUUGCAUUUCUCGGCGUCGUAUUCUGCAUGGGAGCUUGGUUUGACGCAGUGUAAUGUCUACUAUCUGGGCCGUACGAGCUGCUCAACGUGUUCUCUGCCGGAGACAAACGUCGGCCUCGCUCCAACUGCAUACACGGGGCCGAUCUGCCGGCUCCGCUGCAGGGCGUAUACGAUGUGCUCGCCAGAGCUUGUGCUGGUUUCACCAUCGGCGGUAGCUAGAAGAAACGAGGAGAAGAACAAUGUAUAUCUUCAGUCAUUCCGGGAUAUGUUUGUGCUCGUCUAA
RNAcentral lists this ribosomal RNA (1173 nucleotides) under Triticum aestivum (bread wheat). RNAcentral describes it as "partial small subunit ribosomal RNA". The record is from RNAcentral. Lineage: Eukaryota; Viridiplantae; Streptophyta; Magnoliopsida; Poales; Poaceae.